Long non-coding RNA from Solanum dulcamara, 478 nucleotides. RefSeq lists it as uncharacterized. The transcript is spliced from 2 exons. Lineage: Eukaryota; Viridiplantae; Streptophyta; Magnoliopsida; Solanales; Solanaceae. The record is from RefSeq and is a predicted model, not a curated record.
UUGUCAAAUAAAGGUGAAAUUUUGCUCGUGUUUGGAUCAGUUUUCAUGAUAUACAAUCCAAAUGAUGACUCAAUUAGAUAUCCAGAGGUGACUAACUUCGAUGCCUGUCUUGAGGCGGAAAUCUACAUUGAAACCGUAGUUUCCCCCCUUUUACAAAAUGAACCAAGCACACAACAACAGUGAAGGCUGCAUAAGCUUGGAUGAAUGACAGUCCCGUGACUUACGACAUGAAAGUGAAAGCUAUGUUAGGAACAACUAAUUCAACACCCGCAGACUGGCAUUGAACGCAAUGAAGCAUGGGUUUUCCCAGUUUUUACUUUUCAUUGUGAUGUACUGUAUAGAUAGAUAUAUAGUGGACUUUGGAGUUCAAUUCCCAAAUUUUGAUUAAUAUGUGUCAGACAAGUUGAAAUGGAAGUCCCUAUAUUACCGUGUAUGCAAAUUAAUUUCAGCCACAAAGUUUUGUGGGCACUCUGCUUUA